CCUACGGGAGGCAGCAGUGAGGAAUAUUGGUCAAUGGCCGUAAGGCUGAACCAGCCAAGUAGCGUGAGGGAAGACUGCCCUAUGGGUUGUAAACCUCUUUUAUGCGGGGAUAAAGGUGUCCACGGUUGGAUUUUUGGAGGUACCGCAUGAAUAAGGACCGGCUAAUUCCGUGCCAGCAGCCGCGGUAAUAAGGAAGGUCCGGGCGUUAUCCGGAUUUAUUGGGUUUAAAGGGAGGGUAGGCCGGUCUUUAAGUGUGCCGUGAAAUUUUGGGGGCCAACCCUGAGAGUGCGGCGGAAUCUGGAGAUCUUGAGUGCGCGAAAGGUAGGCGGAAUGCGUGGUGUAGCGGUGAAAUGCUUAGAUAUCACGAAGAACCCCGAUUGCGAAGGCAGCCUGCCGCAGCGGUACUGACGCUGAGGCACGAAAGCGCGGGUAUCGAACAGGAUUAGAUACCCGGGUAGUC
RNAcentral lists this ribosomal RNA (460 nucleotides) under uncultured bacterium. RNAcentral describes it as "partial 16S ribosomal RNA". It matches the Rfam family "Bacterial small subunit ribosomal RNA", at positions 338 to 795 of the family's 1533-position model. The record is from RNAcentral.